UACGAAGGGGGCUAGCGUUGUUCGGAAUCACUGGGCGUAAAGCGCACGUAGGCGGAUCUUUAAGUCAGGGGUGAAAUCCCGAGGCUCAACCUCGGAACUGCCUUUGAUACUGGGGAUCUCGAGUCCGGGAGAGGUGAGUGGAAUUGCGAGUGUAGAGGUGAAAUUCGUAGAUAUUCGCAAGAACACCAGUGGCGAAGGCGGCUCACUGGCCCGGUACUGACGCUGAGGUGCGAAAGCGUGGGGAGCAACAGG
Molecule: ribosomal RNA, 252 nt
Filed under: uncultured bacterium
Lineage: Bacteria
Description: partial 16S ribosomal RNA
Rfam family: Bacterial small subunit ribosomal RNA
Source: RNAcentral